AGCGAACGCUGGCGGCAUGCCUAACACAUGCAAGUCGAACGAGAUCUUCGGGUCUAGUGGCGCACGGGUGCGUAACGCGUGGGAAUCUGCCCGUUGGUUCGGAAUCACAGUUGGAAACGACUGCUAAUACCGGAUGAUGACGAAAGUCCAAAGAUUUAUCGGCAGAGGAUGAGCCCGCGUAGGAUUAGCUAGUUGGUGUGGUAAAGGCGCACCAAGGCGACGAUCCUUAGCUGGGCUGAGAGGAUGAUCAGCCACACUGGGACUGAGACACGGUCCAGACUCCUACGGGAGGCAGCAGUGGGGAAUAUUGGACAAUGGGCGAAAGCCUGAUCCAGCAAUGCCGCGUGAGUGAUGAAGGCCUUAGGGUUGUAAAGCUCUUUUACCCGGGAUGAUAAUGACAGUACCGGGAGAAUAAGCUCCGGCUAACUCCGUGCCAGCCGCCGCAGUAA
Molecule: ribosomal RNA, 449 nt
Filed under: uncultured bacterium
Lineage: Bacteria
Description: partial 16S ribosomal RNA
Rfam family: Bacterial small subunit ribosomal RNA
Source: RNAcentral